UACAUCAUAUCGCAAAUUCUUUCCUUCAUCAAAGGCUGGUAAAUUGUUCAAUAAGGUGCUGGUCGAAGGUAGUGUUGAGAGUUUGCUAGAUUAUCCUACCAGGAGCACGUUACUGGGCGCCCGAUAUUGACAUAACCAUGGAAUAUUGGGAAUCAGUUGUGACUACAUUU
Millerozyma farinosa CBS 7064 is the source of this 170-nucleotide small nucleolar RNA. It matches the Rfam family "Small nucleolar RNA snR32". The record is from Rfam. Lineage: Eukaryota; Fungi; Ascomycota; Pichiomycetes; Serinales; Debaryomycetaceae.